This 425-nucleotide ribosomal RNA is filed under the name uncultured bacterium. RNAcentral describes it as "bacterial SSU rRNA". It matches the Rfam family "Bacterial small subunit ribosomal RNA", at positions 354 to 796 of the family's 1533-position model. The record is from RNAcentral.
GUGGGGAAUAUUGGACAAUGGGCGAAAGCCUGAUCCAGCCAUGCCGCGUGAGUGAUGAAGGCCUUAGGGUUGUAAAGCUCUUUCAGUAGGGAAGAUAAUGACGGUACCUACAGAAGAAGCCCCGGCUAACUUCGUGCCAGCAGCCGCGGUAAUACGAAGGGGGCUAGCGUUGUUCGGAUUUACUGGGCGUAAAGCGCACGUAGGCGGAUCGUUAAGUCGGGGGUGAAAUCCUGGAGCUCAACUCCAGAACUGCCUUCGAUACUGGCGAUCUUGAGUCCGGAAGAGGUGAGUGGAACUCCUAGUGUAGAGGUGGAAUUCGUAGAUAUUAGGAAGAACACCAGUGGCGAAGGCGGCUCACUGGUCCGGUACUGACGCUGAGGUGCGAAAGCGUGGGGAGCAAACAGGAUUAGAUACCCCUGUAGUCC